This 253-nucleotide ribosomal RNA is filed under the name uncultured bacterium. Its description in RNAcentral is "partial 16S ribosomal RNA". It matches the Rfam family "Bacterial small subunit ribosomal RNA", at positions 524 to 776 of the family's 1533-position model. The record is from RNAcentral.
UACGUAGGGGGCUAGCGUUGUCCGGAUUUAUUGGGCGUAAAGAGCGCGUAGGCGGCCGAGUAAGUCCGACGUGAAAUCUGGAGGCUCAACCUCCAGCGGUCGUUGGAAACUACUCGGCUAGAGUCCGGAAGAGGAGAGUGGAAUUCCUGGUGUAGCGGUGAAAUGCGCAGAUAUCAGGAAGAACACCCGUGGCUAAGGCGGCUCUCUAGUACGGUACUGACGCUGAGACGCGAAAGCGUGGGGAGCGAACAGG